AGAGAAAAAACGAUCGGAAAGGGAACGGCCCGGCAGAAUCGUGCCGCAAGCCAGCGCUGACGCCGCCUUCCGCCGUCCGGCGACCGCCGUCCGCGAAACGAAGUCGCGUCAUCUUCAAGCUUCAUCGCCGGCAUCGCCAAUUUCUCGCCCGAAGCCUUCGCCGCCGCUCUCCACCCGGACGCAAGACCCAGCGCCGCCGCCGGCAUCACCGGAUCGAAGAGCAAAACGCGAAACGAAGCCCAAAAACGGAGAUACAACAGUGUUUUGUGUUAUGCACUGCCACUCUGCCUUAGUUGACUUGAAUGUUUGACUUUGGUUCGGUUAUUUCGUAACCGACCGAAACCGACCGUCGGUUAUAGACCUACCUUCGGUCGAUUACAAAGGUAAAAAUUCACGGUCGGUUAAUCGUUAUUCGGUCGGCGACCGUUUGCACCCGUAGCCACAAUUACAAAUACCCAUUUGGCGGGAAAUACUGAAUAAUAAUGGAAGCAUAACCCCAAAUUCAAAAUUCGAACUUCAGUCAGUUCAGUGUAUCAAAGCUCUCAGCAGUCAACAUUUUGAAAAGAACGAAGAAAAUCGUGCGAAA
Long non-coding RNA from Ipomoea triloba (trilobed morning glory), 586 nucleotides. RefSeq lists it as uncharacterized. The transcript has 2 exons. The record is from RefSeq and is a predicted model, not a curated record. Lineage: Eukaryota; Viridiplantae; Streptophyta; Magnoliopsida; Solanales; Convolvulaceae.